CGGAGGUUGCAAGCGUUGUUCGGAAUGACUGGGCGUAAAGGGAGCGCAGGCGGCCAAGUCAGUCUGAAAGUGAAAGCCCGGGGCUCAACCCCGGAAUUGCUUUGGAUACUGCCUGGCUUGAGUAUGCGAGAGGAAAGCGGAAUUCCAGGUGUAGCGGUGAAAUGCGUAGAUAUCUGGAGGAACACCGGUGGCGAAAGCGGCUUUCUGGCGCAUAACUGACGCUGAGGCUCGAAAGCGUGGGGAGCGAACGGGAUUAGAUACCCG
This 264-nucleotide ribosomal RNA is filed under the name uncultured prokaryote. RNAcentral's name for it is "partial 16S ribosomal RNA". It matches the Rfam family "Bacterial small subunit ribosomal RNA", at positions 526 to 789 of the family's 1533-position model. The record is from RNAcentral.